UUAUUUUUGCAAAAAUUCAUUUGAAUCAGAAACUAUUUGACUACUUAAUUAGAUAGUUGUUAUUGUAGUCUUUUCUUGAAGCUGCUUUUAUAAAUGAAGACUUGAAAAUUAAGACGAUUUGGAUUGUUAAAAAAGAAGAAUGUUGAGGACCUUAAAGGGUGAGGGAUCCCUCUAACUUGACAUUUUUGGGUUUGGUUACUUUUCGUACUAGAUAAAGUUGUAAUGGCAUCCGUAGAAAAAUAGAAUGGAGGGCUGGCUUCUGCUUACUUUUCAUUUUUCAAUCUUCCAACCCAACUACCGAAAGCAUGCAUGGCAUUUUGACAAUGCCAUUUCGAGUGCUUAGCUAUCUAUCAACAUCACCACUUUCACCUUCCACCUAGCAACCGUAUCUGAUGCUUUCUGCUGUUCUUGUUGGCACCAUUCAAAACCAUCAGCCACCCUAUGUCAUUUUAUACUUCCAAUUGUUUUAUGAUUUUCUAUUCUUAUUGGCUGUCGAAAGCUUAAGCCCAUAUUGGUCCAUGUUCCCCACAUGUUCUUGUCUGUUGGAAGAAAAUUAAACAAGGGGAGCUUGAGAUUCAGGCCCAAUAGAGGGGCUGAAAUAGUAGAAAAAAACCCAACCCUAUAGAUUCAAGCCCAUUUGCUGCAAUGAUGUUCCUUCAAGCUGCUUCAGUGUUUUAUCACCGAGUUAAGAGUUCCAUUGUAGUACGAGUACUACAGUACUACUGCACUGCACUACACCGCAAAUCAAAUUUGUACUACGUCUUAGAAGAUGUGUACUAAUGUACUUUGCAUCAGAAAUAUAAACUUUCUAUUAUGUACAUACUGUGUAUAUAAAACACAACAGAAAUGAGGUUGCAGCAGCACUACCUCCCUCUACUGCUAAACUAGUUAGUUUUAGUUUACUGGUGUUAUUGAACUAUCAAACACAGCCUCCUCUGUCUCUCUAUCUAUGUUAAGAGUAAGCUUUGCAGUCUCUGUGUGUUUCUUAUAUCAUAUCUUUCAUAUGUUACUUUGAUCUGUUUUUCCUUUGUUAAUUUAUAAGCAGGGCCAUGUAUAUACAAAAAUGGGGUGGCCAUUUUUCAUAUCUUGGCACCAAAGUCACCACCCGACUAUUGUUACCAUCGUCAAUUCGUCCUCCAACAAGUCCGUUAUCUUUAUAUGUAGACUAUAACUCUGAGAAUAUGUACUACAAUAAGAUAUAGUGCAUAUAUAGUUAACAGACUUGUUUGGGGACGAAUUGAAGAUGUCAACAGUCUGGUAGUAACUUUGGUGCCAAGGUAUAAACAAUGCUCACCUCAAUUUUGUUUUCUUUGUAUAUAGACUGCAUAUAAUUAACAAAAGAAAGAAGAUUAUUAUACGAUGAAUUUCAAUCCAGAAGUGGCAGAGUGGUUUGCAAUCUGAGCUGAGAUGGUAUAUAAUCCAAUAUAACUGCAUUUUGGAGUGGCACUCACUUGAAGGGAAUUUGGUGGUAGAAAUUAAAUCAAAAGCUCUGAUGUGACAGCAAAUGACGUUGUUGAUUGUGAUCCACACUGGAUGUCGAACUGGUCAAUUGCUCUAUGUGGUGGUGUUGCUGCUCUCGGCAAUCCACGUGUGUUCUUGUAAUUUGCCUUCAUUUUCCAAUUGUAACUUUGUUCCUCCUGUGUAUUGAGAAAAUAAUAAUAAUAAAUCUUUAUAGUGACAAAAGUAAAUUCCAAUCACAAAAACAACUCUGUUGCAAUUAGCAUCACAAUACUGUAGAAACAUUAACUUAAUACCAAUCACAAAUGAUUUAAUAAUCAACUGAUGCCAUUUUCCUUGGAAAAUGAUUUUGGCAUUUUACCUCUCACACUCCUCUAGGCACCAACUUACAGACAGGCAAGAGUCCGAUGAUAUGGGACUACAAGCAAAGCAAAGCAAUAACACUAGACAUAGAUUUGAUACAGAUUGGAAAGCAAACAAAGACGCUGCUGCUUCAACAAGCCAAGAUACGUCACAGCCAACCCAAAUCUGUCAAGAGACACGCCGCGGAGGGCAAGGGAGACCAUUCUUGUUUAGAAUGCCAAUCAAAGAGGAUGAAGGCAUGUCGACCCAAACAAAAGAGCGUGAUUAGAGAGAAGAGAGGUUCUGUGGGAUUUCCAAGGAUGCAUCAUGCAUGGGUAAGUCUCUCCCUUGGAAUUAUUUCAUAUACUUUCUUAAUUGAAUAAGAGCAUGUCUAAUGCAAGGGAAGGGGGAAGGGCGUUAGGUGUUGUUUUAGCCCCUCAAAGUGGUACUAUUCACAAAAUUUAGCUUUUCAAAUUUUUUGUGGUUCUAGUGGUGAGGGAUUAGGGUUACAACUCAAAACUUGU
RNAcentral lists this long non-coding RNA (2324 nucleotides) under Prunus dulcis (almond). RNAcentral describes it as "sRNA ncRNA". The record is from RNAcentral. Lineage: Eukaryota; Viridiplantae; Streptophyta; Magnoliopsida; Rosales; Rosaceae.